AGAGUUUGAUCAUGGCUCAGGAUGAACGCUGGCGGCGUGCUUAACACAUGCAAGUCGAACGAUGAUCCGGUGCUUGCGCCGGGGAUUAGUGGCGAACGGGUGAGUAACACGUGAGUAACCUGCCCUUGACUCUGGGAUAAGCCUGGGAAACUGGGUCUAAUACCGGAUAUGACUCCUCAUCGCAUGGUGGGGGGUGGAAAGCUUUUUGUGGUUUUGGAUGGACUCGCGGCCUAUCAGCUUGUUGGUGGGGUAAUGGCCUACCAAGGCGACGACGGGUAGCCGGCCUGAGAGGGUGACCGGCCACACUGGGACUGAGACACGGCCCAGACUCCUACGGGAGGCAGCAGUGGGGAAUAUUGCACAAUGGGCGAAAGCCUGAUGCAGCGACGCCGCGUGAGGGAUGACGGCCUUCGGGUUGUAAACCUCUUUCAGUAGGGAAGAAGCCCUCUUUGGGGGUGACGGUACUUGCAGAAGAAGCGCCGGCUAACUACAUGCCAGCAGCCGCGGUAAUACGUAGGGCGCAAGCGUUAUCCGGAAUUAUUGGGCGUAAAGAGCUCGUAGGCGGUUUGUCGCGUCUGCUGUGAAAGACCGGGGCUCAACUCCGGUUCUGCAGUGGGUACGGGCAG
This 626-nucleotide ribosomal RNA is filed under the name uncultured bacterium. Its description in RNAcentral is "bacterial SSU rRNA". It matches the Rfam family "Bacterial small subunit ribosomal RNA", at positions 8 to 639 of the family's 1533-position model. The record is from RNAcentral.